UUUUUCUUUUUCUUUAGCAAUAUCAUUUUCAGUGUAUGGGUAUUCCACAUCUUUGUCAGAUUCAUCCCAAAGUCUUUUACAUUUUUGAGACUAUUAUAAAUGGAAUUCUUAUUUUUAUAUUUCAACUUCUGAUUUUUCAUUGUUUUUAUAUAGGAACAAAAUUGGUUUCUGUAUAUUGGUCUUAUAUCCUGCAACUUUUCUAACUUCACUAGUUCUAGUAACUUUUGGGGGAAUUCCAAGGGAUUUUCUACAAAGACCAGGGGUUUGCAAACUAUGGACCAUGGGCUAAAUGUAGUCUGAUGCUUGUUCUACAAGUAAAGUUUUACUGGAACACAGACAUGCUCAUUUGGUUAUAUAUUGUCUAUGAUUCUUUUGUAUUACAAUGACAAAGGUAAGUAGUUCAACAGAGAUAACAUAGAUAAGCACGUCACAUACAAUAAAGGCAGUCUUGUUUCUAUAACCUUCAGUAAAAUGCUGAAUAGUCACUUCUAUUCAGCAUCCUUGUCCUGUUUUGAUCUUAGAGGAAAAGCAUUGUCUUUCACUAUCAUGUAUGGUGUUGAUAGAGAUUUUUUGUUUUGUUUUGUUUUGUCUGUGCCUUUCUAGGGCCGUUCCUGCGGCAUAUGCAGGAAUGGCCCUAAAAAAGGCAAAAAAACCAAAAAAAAAAAAAAAAAAGUUUCGUAAAAUUCACUACGUAGUCAUCUGGGAUUGAGGUUUUCUUUGUGAAAAGGUUUUUAACUACAGAUUAAAAGUUUUAGUACAUAUAGGGCAAUUAGGGUAUCUAUUUCUUUGUGAGCAAGAUUUUAUGGUUUGCAUUUUCAAAGAAUUGUCUGUUUCAUCUAACUUAUUGGAUUUACUGGCAUAAAUUUUCAGUUUUUUUUAAUCAUCCUUUUAAUACUGGUUGAAAAUGUAGUGAUGUCACCUCUCUCAUUUCUGAUAUCGAUAAUUUGUGUCAUCUUUUUUUCUGAUAAGUCUAGCUAAAAAUACAUCAGUUAUGUUGAUCUUUUCAUUGGUUUCCUCUAUUAUUUUGGUUUUCCAUUUUACUGAGUUCUUUUUUUUAAUUCAAAUUACUUUGGGUUUAAUUUGCUCUUCUUUUUCUAGUUUCUUAAAGUGGAAGCUGAGGUUGGUAACUUAAGAUUUUUCUUCUUUCCUAAUAAAGUCAUUUACUUCUCUAAAUUUCCUUCUAAGUGCUAGUUUUGUGUCAUCCCCUACACUGUGUGUGUCAUCCUAUGCAUUCCCUAUUUUUUAUUUUUUGACCCAUUUGUUAUUUAGAUUAUAAAUAUUUGAGGAUUUUCCAAUGAUCUAUGGCAAUGAGUCUUAUUACUGAGGCAAAAACCUCUGGGUACUGUACCAAAUGUUAUAUGAAUCUCGAUGUUUUCCACUCUGGGUAGAAGGAAUAGGCACCAUUCUCAGUACUGUGUGAGCACCAUACACUGUUUCUGCUAAUCCUUUUAGAGGGACCAUAUGCUGAUGAGUAUUCAGCUAAACAAUCAAGGGGGAUCCUCUACAGAUCUUUGAAAAAUUCCCUCUCUGUGCAGUACUCUGUCCUAUAACCCCUAGCCACCUUGGUCUCCUUGGUCUCUCAGCUCCAUCUCCUCAACCCACAGAGUCCAUCAGGCUCUGUCCACUUCCCUGUACUGAAAACUCUCCCAUGGCAGUAAGCUGCAGCAGCCGUAUGUCUCACUCGUUUUUUCUUCUUGCCUCUCAAGUAUC
RNAcentral lists this long non-coding RNA (1710 nucleotides) under Sus scrofa (pig). RNAcentral describes it as "lncRNA (ENSSSCG00030050475.1)". Lineage: Eukaryota; Metazoa; Chordata; Mammalia; Artiodactyla; Suidae. The record is from RNAcentral.